CUUAAACAAAACAAAAGUCCUGAUCAGCUUGCAAACUACAGACUCACUACACUGUUAAAUACAGAUAUCAAAUUAUAUCCAGCAGUACUUGCAGCAAGAUUAAGUAAAAUUAUACCCACAAUUAUACAUCAAGAUCAAGUCGGGUUCAUAACAAGUAGAACCCCGGUGUACUAUAUUAGGAGACUUCUGGACAUUAUGGAAUUGGUCCAUAAAAAAUGUCUGCCCAUCCUGGC
Non-coding RNA from Pelobates cultripes (western spadefoot toad), 233 nucleotides. NCBI's taxonomy places the organism in Eukaryota, Metazoa, Chordata, Amphibia, Anura, Pelobatidae. The record is from the annotation of a GenBank genome assembly.